Long non-coding RNA from Felis catus (domestic cat), 4453 nucleotides. RefSeq lists it as uncharacterized. The transcript has 11 exons. Lineage: Eukaryota; Metazoa; Chordata; Mammalia; Carnivora; Felidae. The record is from RefSeq and is a predicted model, not a curated record.
GGUGGACUACGACUCCCAGGAAGCCUCGCGCGGGCGAGCCCCGAACCCGAGGACGCGGCGAGCGCGGCGCCCGGCCCUCUCCGGCAAGGACUGUCAAUGGAGGCGCGGGUGGUGGGAGCAAGAACAUGGCUGCACCUGGGGCCUGCGCGGCCGCCUGGGUGGGGGAGGGGAGCCGGGGCACGGGGGCGCAAAUCUAGGCCGGGGGUAGCCCCCGCCCCCUCACUGCCCCGAUGCAGCCGGCCUCAGCCACCGUCCAGGACUCGCACCCACUCUUGCACCCCAGAUUCCCUGCCGAUUGCGAGGCCGGAACUCGGCAGAGGCCGGGGAGCCCCAGCCGGCCUGCCGCUCUCCGUGCUCCGCCAAGGGACUUCCUCCGCGCUGCACCACCCUUCGGGACACAAAGAACUUCUGUUAGUUUUGAAAAGCUUGCCUCAAAAGCGUCCGAAAGAGACUGUUGCCCCAACUUUGGACGGGCGACGGGAGGGGACGCUCCUGUUUUUAUUUACCGCCCCUCACCCCAGGCUUGCUUUCCUCACGCCCCCUCACUCAACAUUUAGAAGGAAAGUUGAGGGAAAGCCACCGAGUGAGAGCAGAAAACCUGCCGUGUAGCCCGUUUUGUUCUGUCAACCGCGAAGAAAGGUUACCGAAACCUCCCCCCCCCCGCGACUAAUUCUCUUGCUUCUCAACUUGAGCUCUCGAAUUUCGAAAAGGAUGAGACAUUGCUGUUCGCCUAAGCGAAACUCCAAAGUUUACCAAACUCGAGCCCCGAGGGCUUAGACAGUUCUGUAAAGCACAAGAUCGAGUGAUUUUGCGAUUUUUACCCCCCAGCGGAGAUGGGGGGGACCACGCCGGCCAUCCUCCCCCUCCCCCUCCCCCUCCUCCUCGGUAGGUGGCGACCACGGCGCUUUUUCCAGCCUUUGUCGCUGGAAAGAAAACUUUCCGAGCAGCCAGGCUUUUGAUGUAGGUCCAAGACCUUCCCUUUGACUCUUCGUUCCAGAUUGGCGUUCCCCAUCUUUCUUGCAAUAGACCGCACCCAUAAGGCAGCCGAAUCUAGAAUUUCCAUGCUGGGAUUCUUUAAGAUAGAGGGAGCCUUUAAAGAUCCCUGCAGAAGCGGUCCGAUUGCAGAUUUCCACAUUUUUACGAUUUCCCCUGCAACGUUUUUACAGGCAUUUUGUCCCCGCCUAACCCGAUUGUGACUCUCCUUUGUCGACUCUCUCCAAAGCGUUCAUUUCGUUUUCAUGAAAAGUUUUCUUUUUGCACUCGUAUUUCAUUAACAUACUGGACUAUUAAAUUCCGUAUUCCCAGUAGCACGUAAAAGUGACAUCUAUGUAAGGAACAAACCAAAUUUUGAGAAAGUCUGCAAUUGAGCUGAUGGGAGCAGUCAGCCUUCCAGGGACAAACAUUCAGCCGCUGUGAGCACCGGCUCCAUGCUGGGUGUGGAUCCCGAUGAGGGGCUUGAACUCACGACCCUGAGAUCAAAACCUGAGAUGAGAUCAAGAGGUGGAUGCUUAACCAACUGAGCCACCCAGUUACACCUGAAACUCCUUUAUAUGUAAAUGGGGAAUCAUGCUGCUAUAUGUGAGCAGCCCCGUGGAAAGGCCCAGAUGCUGGGAAAGUGAAGCCAUUGGCCAACAGCCACGUGAGCGAGCUUGGGAACAGAUUCUCCUGCCCCGAUUCCAGGAGGUGACUGCUACCCAACCAUGGCUGGAGUGCAAGCUCCUGGGACGCUCACAGCCAGAAGCACUCCUCCAGCUGCUCCUGGAUUCCUGACCCUCAGAACCAAUACUAGACAGCAGGAGGCUCCGGGUCUUGGCAAAGCACGUGGCUGAUGCUUGUUUCGUGGCCAGAUGAGCCAACGAAUUGUCUCUCCUGUGGGCUCGCGGCCUUUUGGGAAGACACCAUGGUCACUUCUACCUCCCGCCCCUGACAGCCAACCCAGGAGGCCGUGUCUCACAAACGUACCAAAGUCACACCAGGGAACCAAGGUGCUGAGGCCCUGAGGACACCCUGAGGACACCCAAGGUCCCGGAGAGGAGAAACCCCUCAGUGAAGAAACAAGCGUAAACAAGGCAGAGUGCUUUUGGUUCCUCUUCUGGCACCUCGUGUUUCUCCCAAGUCCCAUCACCUGCAUCUCAGGUGAGCUGUUUCAGGGACCUCAGUGUCGAAAUCUCGGGCCUCUGGAGUGCAAACACGUGGCCAGAAAUCAAGAAAGCGAGCUUUCGUGGCAGAACAGGCAGAGGCGCCGGUCAUGGUUCCCCCGUAAUGGAUUCCGGAGGUGGAGGUAAACCAGGGAGGAGGUGCCACGCUGAGUUGGGAAGAAAGGGAGGGGGCCGCGUGAGGAAAUGGAAGAAGGAGCCCCCAACCCCACGUGAGGGAAAGGCGGGAAAGGCGGCACAGCGCAGACAGCCCUGAAGAUGGCAUCUGAGAAGCACGAGGCAGAGACAUCACCAGGGACGUUGCCAACAGGAAUGGUACAUUCUGAGAGCCGCCGCCCUGAGACUUACCAGCCUGCAGCCCUGCCCCUCCCUGCCCCUCCACUGACCUUGUGCCUCUGUUUCCACAGUGAAAAGUAUUUUUUCCCCAAAGAGCAUUUCCCUUUCACUGAGUCACUCCAUAUGGCACCACAAAAUUAAAAUAAAAUAAGUGAAGGGCUACUGUCCCUCUCCAUCCUGGCUGGGCUAGGUGAGACACCUUGUGGUUCAGUAGACAUCCCUUAAUAAGCUUUUUAUUUUUAAGUUAUCUCUGUACCCAGAGUGGGGCUUGAACUCAUGAUUUUGAGAUCAAGAGUCACGUGCUCCACCGACUGAGCCAGCCAGGUGCCCUGUAAAGCUCUGACUGCUUAAGAGAAGAUCCUUUGCAGGAUUCUAGCAAAGCCUCUGCCCCUGGAGCUCGGGAUCACCCUCUUCUUAGCAGAAGGGAGGCACCUGGGCGGUGAGGGAGGAAGGCUGCAGGGGAAACAGGUGCUGGAGAGCCGCCCCUCCUUCCCCUCCCCUCCCGCCUCACCCUAGCUUUGUCCCUGCGCUGAUUAUUGCUUUAUUACUGUUUUCAGUCAGAUAUAAUUCCGGCAUUUUCUACAAUCUUGAUCUUUUCACUGAUACCAGAUUUUUGUACAAAGAUUUGUAUAUAAAAUGAUUAUGUACCCACCAGAAUACAUUCCCCAGCAAUUAGAACGUUUAAGAUGCAGCUCGUAACACUCCUUCUGCACAUUCCUCAUUUAUUACUUCUGAAAAUGUUUUGUGAUUUUUUUUUUUUUUGGUGGAUGUGUUUACAAAUCCAAUAACAAUCCUCAUUUAGAGUUGCAAAACACGAAGCCAUUUUGAACCCAGACAGAUGGCAGCUAAAUGAACUUUAAUUAAAGAAUGAGUGCUUUGAAUCAAAUCACUUUAAAAAGUACAGUACUCUGAGAUUCUGGAGAGGUUGCAUAAACAGCAUCUGGGUUCUUCUGCAGGAAGCAGGCCUGCUUGUGGGAACUAGGAAGGCAUCCCCAACGGAUCCGGGCUGGGCCGGCACUGGGCACCGUGGGCAGAGCGAGGGGGCGGCCGGCCGGCCAAGCGGCCCAGAGCGCAGAGCUCCCGAGACAGGAGGUGAAACCGACGUAGGCCACCUCUUGGUGCAAAGGUUGCCCUAGGGGUGGGGGUCCCCCCUUAUGCCUUCGUGCAGUGAGGUCGGGCCGAGGCGCGGGGUUUUGCUGCACAACCCGAUUAGGUGCACGCGCCUGCACAGCGGGAGUGGAAGCAGACAGAUGGCGGAGGCCCCGCAGGCCGCAGCGCUGGGGUUCCCGGGCCCUCACCGGGCGCUCCACCCCCCCGCGCAGCCGCCCGCCGGGCAGGAGCCACUUCCGGCCGUGGCAGCGGGUCUGGGCGGGGGCGGCGGCUCGUCUCUAGGCGACCGAGAGGCGCCAGCCGGCCCGGGCGCGCUGCGGGGGCGCCCGGGGAGGCGGGUGUCCGGGCGGAAGCCGCUCGUACUCGGUGGCCGCGGUGGAGAAGGAAGGGGACGGACGGUGGGCUGUGUGACGCCGGGCAAACUGAUUCACCUCUCUGAGCCAAAUGGGGACAACAACGGGACGUGAGCCUCAAAGGAGAUCAUGUGUCGGCAAGAGCCUGGUACCCCGCGUGACACGAAGCACGACUCGGCAGCUGUUCUGUUGCUACCGAAUUAAACUGAUUUCUGCAAAAGGUCUGAAAGACGAGAGACAGGAGGUGGCGGUUAGAAAAUGCGGUUUCCGCUCUUCUUGCUCAGCUGCUCCCCGCAGGUGGGCGACCCCUCUCCUGAGACGCUGCCACCGCCGCUGGAGGGCCAGUCAGCAUGUGAGGACGCGUAUGAGGACACAGUGAGGAGAUGGUUAUCUAGAAACUAGGAAGUGGGUCCUCCCCAGACCCUGAAUCUGCCACCACCUUGAUCCUGGACUUCCCAGCCUCUGGAACUGUAAGAAGUAAAUGUCUGUUGUUUAUAA